GAUGAACGCUGGCGGCGUGCCUAAUACAUGCAAGUCGAGCGAACAGAUAAGGAGCUUGCUCCUUUGACGUUAGCGGCGGACGGGUGAGUAACACGUGGGUAACCUACCUAUAAGACUGGGAUAACUUCGGGAAACCGGAGCUAAUACCGGAUAACAUUUGGAACCGCAUGGUUCUAAAGUGAAAGAUGGCUUUGCUAUCACUUAUAGAUGGACCCGCGCCGUAUUAGCUAGUUGGUAAGGUAACGGCUUACCAAGGCGACGAUACGUAGCCGACCUGAGAGGGUGAUCGGCCACACUGGAACUGAGACACGGUCCAGACUCCUACGGGAGGCAGCAGUAGGGAAUCUUCCGCAAUGGGCGAAAGCCUGACGGAGCAACGCCGCGUGAGUGAUGAAGGGUUUCGGCUCGUAAAACUCUGUUAUUAGGGAAGAACAAAUGUGUAAGUAACUGUGCACGUCUUGACGGUACCUAAUCAGAAAGCCACGGCUAACUACGUG
Molecule: ribosomal RNA, 497 nt
Filed under: uncultured bacterium
Lineage: Bacteria
Description: partial 16S ribosomal RNA
Rfam family: Bacterial small subunit ribosomal RNA
Source: RNAcentral